CUUGAAUACAUUAGCAUGGAAUAACGAAAUAGGACGUUUGAUUCUAUUUUGUUGGUUUCUUAGGAUCGACGUAAUGAUUAAUAGGGAUAGUUGGGGGCAUUAGUAUUCAAUUGUCAGAGGUGAAAUUCUUUGGAUUUAUUGAAGACUAACUACUGCGAAAGCAUUUGCCAAGGAUGUUUUCAUUAAUCAAGAACGAAAGUUAGGGGAUCGAAGACGAUCAGAUACCGUCGUAGUCUUAACCAUAAACUAUGCCGACUAGGGAUCGGAUGAUGUUAAUUUUUUAAUGACUCAUUCGGCGCCUUACG
This 305-nucleotide ribosomal RNA is filed under the name uncultured Glomus. RNAcentral describes it as "SSU rRNA". It matches the Rfam family "Eukaryotic small subunit ribosomal RNA", at positions 794 to 1092 of the family's 1831-position model. The record is from RNAcentral. Lineage: Eukaryota; Fungi; Glomeromycota; Glomeromycetes; Glomerales; Glomeraceae.